Molecule: ribosomal RNA, 439 nt
Filed under: uncultured bacterium
Lineage: Bacteria
Description: partial 16S ribosomal RNA
Rfam family: Bacterial small subunit ribosomal RNA
Source: RNAcentral
CUACGGGGUGCACCAGUGAGGAAUAUUGCACAAUGGGGGGAACCCUGAUGCAGCAACGCCGCGUGGAGGAUGACGCAUUUCGGUGUGUAAACUCCUUUUAUAUGUCAAGAAAAUGACGGUAGCAUAUGAAUAAGCACCGGCUAACUCCGUGCCAGCAGCCGCGGUAAUACGGAGGGUGCAAGCGUUACUCGGAAUCGCUGGGCGUAAAGGACGCGUAGGCGGGUUGGAAAGUCAGGUGUGAAAUCCUACAGCUUAACUGUAGAACUGCACUUGAAACUUCUAAUCUAGAGUAUGGGAGGGGGAGAUGGAAUUAGCGGUGUAGGGGUAAAAUCCGUAGAUAUCACUAGGAAUACCUAAAGCGAAGGCGAUCUCCUGGAACAUUACUGACGCUAAGGCGUGAAAGCGUGGGGAGCAAACAGGAUUAGAUACCCUCGUAGUC